GGAUGAUGGUUAGAAGGAUAGAUGGGUGUGUGGGCAAGUGUGUGGGUAGGUGACUGGUGGACAGAGGGUUAACUGAAGUGUAACUGUCCACUCAUUGUCUCACAAAGGGCACUAUUUUCUCCUUUGAGCUCAUGUCUUUAGGCUCUUCCUGAUGUAGGUUAGAGGGGGAGUGGGUCAGACUGGAAACCCAGAAAAAGAGUUCUGAUCUUGAUGAUGACCGUAGUAGAGUGACCACCCCUCUGGGCCUCUCAUGAAGGAUUUGGGUGGAGAUCUGGGAGAUGCGGCCUCCAUCUAUCCUCAUGGGAGUCUCUAAGAUGUAUCCAAAGAAGCGGAUCACAUGGACCUCAGGGCGCUGCAAGCAGACCUGGAGUGUGGCAGCCUGGGGCCAGGUUCUAUUGUAUUCUUUCCUGACACCCUGGAGCAGGUGACAGCAGGAAGCAGGGGCACAUCGAGGCAGCUCCAGAGCCAGAGGCCAGAGUCCUGGGGCCUUCCACGGAGCCUUUUACAGCCCUGCCUGUCACCACAGAUACAAGGAGGAGCCAGAGGCACCUUGAGAACCUCAACAGGCACAGCACAUGAGUGAGUCCACAGCCCUAGGCUAGAAUUUCGGGUUCCAUCAAAGAGAGUCAUGUGGAAGACCAGUAAAGGUGCAGAGAGCAAGGCUUAAGGAACACUUCUCAACUCAAUUCCAAAGAACUCCGCUCCGAAGCCUGCCUCCGCCUGCAGCUCCCACCUCACACUGGCCCGCAGGCUGGCUCAGCAGUAAGUGCGUUUCUCAUUUUUCUGGGCUUGUCUCCUUGGCUGUAAAACGGAGAUGGAAACCGCUCCCCGCAGGCUGACAGGAGGAUUAAACGGGAAUCAGACGACAUGACACGAAAUAACAUAAAAUAAAUUUCAAAUAACAUAAAUUCUGUAUAAUAUA
RNAcentral lists this long non-coding RNA (922 nucleotides) under Mus spicilegus (steppe mouse). RNAcentral's name for it is "lncRNA (ENSMSIG00000012718.1)". The record is from RNAcentral. Lineage: Eukaryota; Metazoa; Chordata; Mammalia; Rodentia; Muridae.